Long non-coding RNA from Eupeodes corollae, 666 nucleotides. RefSeq lists it as uncharacterized. NCBI's taxonomy places the organism in Eukaryota, Metazoa, Arthropoda, Insecta, Diptera, Syrphidae. The transcript has 2 exons. The record is from RefSeq and is a predicted model, not a curated record.
UACUCGAGUAUCUAUGAUGAUAUUUAGAACUUUUUGUUUAAAUACAAAACAACUACAACAACGAAGAAUAAAAACACUUAAGUUUUAAUUUACAUAUAAAUUUCUCAACGAUUGUUGGCAUUGAAAUUGUGAUAAGUGAGGCCAAGUCGAACAUACCUUCAUACUCGUGUAGUAUAGAAAGAUACACUUCUUCAAUUUGAGGUCGGUAUUGAAUUGAAUAAAAUCUUUUUCCACCACACCGACCGAUCAACUGCCGUACCGACCGACCGACCGACACCAGGCGAAUCUCAUCUCAACUCGACUCAACUAAACUCAAGUGACGUGCUGGUUUGAUGAAGGAUUUUUUCGUCGAUUGAACUCGAUAAAUGAUCUGCUUUUGGAGAAACAAAAAAAAAUAAAAUUAAUGAACAUGCAGCGAGUCAGCACCAGCAGCACCCAGGCCCACUUUUCCAUUGAUUCACGUUCCUAUAAAAAAUGUAAAUAUAAUUAUUUGAGCAGGCUGAUGAAUAUACCUAAGCGUAUAAGCGUGUUGUGCACACUUAAUCGAAGCUCGAACGUGAAACGCGUAAUUAAACUGGAAACUCAUUUGAUUAAUUUACAUGUUCUGAAUCUAAAUAAGAUUUUCUCUGAUCGAGAAUGAUUAUUCUAAUAAAAUUAAAUAUAUGU